UUUUCAAAGGUGUAGCUUUGGUGGUUUUCAAUGCCACUGCUAGUGCAUCUUCUUGUUAUUUCUUGUCAAAGUUGAUAGGGAGGCACAUUGUCUUCUCUCUUUGGCCUGACAAGCUGCAGUUUUUCCAAAACCAGGUGGCUAAAAGAAGAGAGGGACUUUUGAACUACAUGUUGUUUCUA
This is a non-coding RNA of Prunus avium (sweet cherry), 179 nucleotides long. The record is from RefSeq and is a predicted model, not a curated record. Lineage: Eukaryota; Viridiplantae; Streptophyta; Magnoliopsida; Rosales; Rosaceae.